Molecule: ribosomal RNA, 468 nt
Filed under: uncultured bacterium
Lineage: Bacteria
Description: partial 16S ribosomal RNA
Rfam family: Bacterial small subunit ribosomal RNA
Source: RNAcentral
GACGAACGCUGGCGGCGUGCUUAACACAUGCAAGUCGAACGGAAAGGCCCUGCUUUUGUGGGGUUCUCGAUUGGCGAACAGGUGAGUAACACGUGUGUAACCUGCCCUUGACUUUGGGAUAACUUCUGGAAACUGGGGCUAAUACCGCAUAGGAUCUCCUGCUGCGUGGUGGGGGUUGGAAAGAUUCGGCGGUUGGGGCUGGACUCGCGGCUUAUCAGCUUGUUUGUGGGGUUGUGGCUUACCAAGGCUUUGACGGGUAGGCGGCCUGAGAGGGUGACCGGGCACCAUGCGCCUGCGAGAGGCAGCAGACUCGUACGGGAGGCAGUAGUCGGGAAUAUUACAGAAUGAGCGGACGCCUGAUGCAGCAAUGCCGCGUGCGGGAUGACGGCUUUCGGGUGGUAAACCGCUUUCGCAGGUGCCGAACAGUGAGUGACGGUAAUGAGUAAAGAAGCCCCGGCUAACUACGUG